Molecule: ribosomal RNA, 2905 nt
Filed under: Escherichia albertii
Lineage: Bacteria; Pseudomonadati; Pseudomonadota; Gammaproteobacteria; Enterobacterales; Enterobacteriaceae
Description: 23S ribosomal RNA
Rfam family: Bacterial large subunit ribosomal RNA
Source: RNAcentral
GGUUAAGCGACUAAGCGUACACGGUGGAUGCCCUGGCAGUCAGAGGCGAUGAAGGACGUGCUAAUCUGCGAAAAGCGUCGGUAAGGUGAUAUGAACCGUUAUAACCGGCGAUGUCCGAAUGGGGAAACCCAGUGUGUUUCGACACACUAUCAUUAACUGAAUCCAUAGGUUAAUGAGGCGAACCGGGGGAACUGAAACAUCUAAGUACCCCGAGGAAAAGAAAUCAACCGAGAUUCCCCCAGUAGCGGCGAGCGAACGGGGAGGAGCCCAGAGCCUGAAUCAGUGUGUGUGUUAGUGGAAGCGUCUGGAAAGGCGCGCGAUACAGGGUGACAGCCCCGUACACAAAAAUGCACAUGCUGUGAGCUCGAAGAGUAGGGCGGGACACGUGGUAUCCUGUCUGAAUAUGGGGGGACCAUCCUCCAAGGCUAAAUACUCCUGACUGACCGAUAGUGAACCAGUACCGUGAGGGAAAGGCGAAAAGAACCCCGGCGAGGGGAGUGAAAAAGAACCUGAAACCGUGUACGUACAAGCAGUGGGAGCCCUGAUUUAUCAGGGUGACUGCGUACCUUUUGUAUAAUGGGUCAGCGACUUAUAUUCUGUAGCAAGGUUAACCGAAUAGGGGAGCCGGAGGGAAACCGAGUCUUAACUGGGCGUUAAGUUGCAGGGUAUAGACCCGAAACCCGGUGAUCUAGCCAUGGGCAGGUUGAAGGUUGGGUAACACUAACUGGAGGACCGAACCGACUAAUGUUGAAAAAUUAGCGGAUGACUUGUGGCUGGGGGUGAAAGGCCAAUCAAACCGGGAGAUAGCUGGUUCUCCCCGAAAGCUAUUUAGGUAGCGCCUCGUGAAUUCAUCUCCGGGGGUAGAGCACUGUUUCGGCAAGGGGGUCAUCCCGACUUACCAACCCGAUGCAAACUGCGAAUACCGGAGAAUGUUAUCACGGGAGACACACGGCGGGUGCUAACGUCCGUCGUGAAGAGGGAAACAACCCAGACCGCCAGCUAAGGUCCCAAAGUCAUGGUUAAGUGGGAAACGAUGUGGGAAGGCCCAGACAGCCAGGAUGUUGGCUUAGAAGCAGCCAUCAUUUAAAGAAAGCGUAAUAGCUCACUGGUCGAGUCGGCCUGCGCGGAAGAUGUAACGGGGCUAAACCAUGCACCGAAGCUGCGGCAGCGACGCUGAUGCGUUGUUGGGUAGGGGAGCGUUCUGUAAGCCUGUGAAGGUGGCCUGUGAGGGUUGCUGGAGGUAUCAGAAGUGCGAAUGCUGACAUAAGUAACGAUAAAGCGGGUGAAAAGCCCGCUCGCCGGAAGACCAAGGGUUCCUGUCCAACGUUAAUCGGGGCAGGGUGAGUCGACCCCUAAGGCGAGGCCGAAAGGCGUAGUCGAUGGGAAACAGGUUAAUAUUCCUGUACUUGGUGUUACUGCGAAGGGGGGACGGAGAAGGCUAUGUUGGCCGGGCGACGGUUGUCCCGGUUUAAGCGUGUAGGCUGGUUUUCCAGGCAAAUCCGGAGAAUCAAGGCUGAGGCGUGAUGACGAGGCACUACGGUGCUGAAGCAACAAAUGCCCUGCUUCCAGGAAAAGCCUCUAAGCAUCAGGUAACAUCAAAUCGUACCCCAAACCGACACAGGUGGUCAGGUAGAGAAUACCAAGGCGCUUGAGAGAACUCGGGUGAAGGAACUAGGCAAAAUGGUGCCGUAACUUCGGGAGAAGGCACGCUGAUGGUAGGUGAAGCGACUUGCUCGUGGAGCUGAAAUCAGUCGAAGAUACCAGCUGGCUGCAACUGUUUAUUAAAAACACAGCACUGUGCAAACACGAAAGUGGACGUAUACGGUGUGACGCCUGCCCGGUGCCGGAAGGUUAAUUGAUGGGGUCAGCGCAAGCGAAGCUCUUGAUCGAAGCCCCGGUAAACGGCGGCCGUAACUAUAACGGUCCUAAGGUAGCGAAAUUCCUUGUCGGGUAAGUUCCGACCUGCACGAAUGGCGUAAUGAUGGCCAGGCUGUCUCCACCCGAGACUCAGUGAAAUUGAACUCGCUGUGAAGAUGCAGUGUACCCGCGGCAAGACGGAAAGACCCCGUGAACCUUUACUAUAGCUUGACACUGAACACUGGUCCUUGAUGUGUAGGAUAGGUGGGAGGCUUUGAAGUGUGGACGCCAGUCUGCAUGGAGCCGUCCUUGAAAUACCACCCUUUAAUGGCUGGUGUUCUAACGUAGGCCCCUUAUCGGGGUUGCGGACAGUGUCUGGUGGGUAGUUUGACUGGGGCGGUCUCCUCCUAAAGAGUAACGGAGGAGCACGAAGGUUGGCUAAUCCUGGUCGGACAUCAGGAGGUUAGUGCAAUGGCAUAAGCCAGCUUGACUGCGAGCGUGACGGCGCGAGCAGGUGCGAAAGCAGGUCAUAGUGAUCCGGUGGUUCUGAAUGGAAGGGCCAUCGCUCAACGGAUAAAAGGUACUCCGGGGAUAACAGGCUGAUACCGCCCAAGAGUUCAUAUCGACGGCGGUGUUUGGCACCUCGAUGUCGGCUCAUCACAUCCUGGGGCUGAAGUAGGUCCCAAGGGUAUGGCUGUUCGCCAUUUAAAGUGGUACGCGAGCUGGGUUUAGAACGUCGUGAGACAGUUCGGUCCCUAUCUGCCGUGGGCGCUGGAGAACUGAGGGGGGCUGCUCCUAGUACGAGAGGACCGGAGUGGACGCAUCACUGGUGUUCGGGUUGUCAUGCCAAUGGCACUGCCCGGUAGCUAAAUGCGGAAGAGAUAAGUGCUGAAAGCAUCUAAGCACGAAACUUGCCCCGAGAUGAGUUCUCCCUGAGACUUAGAGUCUCCUGAAGGAACGUUGAAGACGACGACGUUGAUAGGCCGGGUGUGUAAGCGCAGCGAUGCGUUGAGCUAACCGGUACUAAUGAACCGUGAGGCUUAACCUU